RNAcentral lists this ribosomal RNA (229 nucleotides) under uncultured bacterium. Its description in RNAcentral is "partial 16S ribosomal RNA". It matches the Rfam family "Bacterial small subunit ribosomal RNA", at positions 568 to 796 of the family's 1533-position model. The record is from RNAcentral.
UGCGUAGGCGGAUUGAUAAGUCAGUGGUGAAAUCCUACAGCUUAACUGUAGAACUGCCAUUGAUACUGUAGAUCUUGAGUACGGUUGAGGUGGGCGGAAUGUGUCAUGUAGCGGUGAAAUGCUUAGAUAUGACACAGAACACCAAUUGCGAAGGCAGCUCGCUAAACCGUAACUGACGCUGAGGCACGAAAGCGUGGGGAGCGAACAGGAUUAGAUACCCUGGUAGUCC